Molecule: ribosomal RNA, 253 nt
Filed under: uncultured bacterium
Lineage: Bacteria
Description: partial 16S ribosomal RNA
Rfam family: Bacterial small subunit ribosomal RNA
Source: RNAcentral
UACGGGGGGGGCAAGCGUUGUUCGGAAUUACUGGGCGUAAAGGGCGCGUAGGCGGGCCGCCAAGUUCGAGGUGAAAUCCUCCGGCUCAACCGGAGAACUGCCUCGAAUACUGGAGGCCUCGAGGCGGGUAGGGGCAUGCGGAACUGUGGGUGGAGCGGUGAAAUGCGUUGAUAUCCACAGGAACUCCGGUGGCGAAGGCGGCAUGCUGGACCCGAUCUGACGCUGAGGCGCGAAAGCCAGGGGAGCAAACGGG